GAACGCUGGCGGCGUGCCUAAUACAUGCAAGUCGAACGGUCUUUCUAUGGAAGCUUGCUUCCACUGAGAAGAUAGUGGGCGAACGGGUGAGUAACACGUGGGUAACCUGCCCAUAAGAGGGGGAUAACAUCCGGAAACGGGUGCUAAUACCGCAUAGUUUUCUUGAUCGCAUGAUCGGGAAAGGAAAGACGGCCUUUGUGCUGUCGCUUAUGGAUGGACCCGCGGCGUAUUAGUUAGUUGGUGAGGUAACGGCUCACCAAGACGAUGAUACGUAGCCGACCUGAGAGGGUGAUCGGCCACAUUGGGACUGAGACACGGCCCAAACUCCUACGGGAGGCAGCAGUAGGGAACCUUCCGCAAUGGACGAAAGUCUGACGGAGCAACGCCGCGUGAGUGAAGAAGGUUUUCGGGAAUCGUAAAACUCUGUUGUCAGAGAAGAACAAGUUGGAGAGUAACUGCUCCAGCCUUGACGGUAUCUGACCAGAAAGCCACGGCUAACUACGUGCCAGCAGCAGC
Molecule: ribosomal RNA, 516 nt
Filed under: uncultured bacterium
Lineage: Bacteria
Description: bacterial SSU rRNA
Rfam family: Bacterial small subunit ribosomal RNA
Source: RNAcentral